Molecule: transfer-messenger RNA, 344 nt
Filed under: Sphingomonas oleivorans
Lineage: Bacteria; Pseudomonadati; Pseudomonadota; Alphaproteobacteria; Sphingomonadales; Sphingomonadaceae
Rfam family: Alphaproteobacteria transfer-messenger RNA
About the family: Bacterial tmRNA, also known as 10Sa RNA or SsrA, is named for its dual tRNA and mRNA-like properties. Its role is to liberate the mRNA from a stalled ribosome.
Source: RNAcentral
GCCUCUUCCAUUCCCGGCGGGAGCGCCUAUAUCGAUUCCUGCCGGGUUCGCCCGGCUAUGGCGAUAAAUGAUGUCGUGGAAUAGAUGCAGCGGACCCGGGGGCAGUACCCGGCGGCUCCACCAUGAUCGGCCUUCGGGCCGGUCCUGACGGGGCCGAACCAGGAUCGACGUGUGUUCAAAGACGAUGUUUUCGCCCGGCCUGAAUGCGCCGUAAAACCGUUCGAACCUACAAGUGCCAACGACAACGAGGCGCUCGCUCUUGCCGCGUAACUGAGUCCUCACGGACAAGGUUAUGUAGUCAUUAGCGCGGUUCGGGCCGCACCGGGCAACAGAAGCGGAUUCCG